AAGGGAGACCUAAUUCCGGUAGGAGACGAAAAAAAAGUAGUCCCUACCAAGAAUCAAUCCCAAAAGGUCGAAGCGAGGCAAGAUUGGCUUUCAAACUAGGUUCUGGGUUCAAACAAGACCUGAAUCAGGAACAAGGGCUAUUAGCUCAGGUGAUUAGAGCGCACCCCUGAUAAGGGUGAGGUCCCUGGUUCGAGUCCAGGAUGGCCCACCUGCACAGGUGGCAAAAACAAAGAAGCGAGGAAUCAGCACCUUAUCUUACUCAUAUAGUAAGAGAGAAUGCUGGCUCUGAGUAAAGAGUCCAGAGGAACCUUGAAAACUGCAUAGGGCCAGGUGAAAAAGCCAAAAAAGAAGACCGCAA
RNAcentral lists this transfer RNA (358 nucleotides) under uncultured Microcystis sp. RNAcentral's name for it is "partial 16S-23S ribosomal RNA intergenic spacer". The stretch from base 135 to 208 matches the Rfam family "tRNA". The record is from RNAcentral. Lineage: Bacteria; Bacillati; Cyanobacteriota; Cyanophyceae; Chroococcales; Microcystaceae.